This 564-nucleotide ribosomal RNA is filed under the name uncultured bacterium. RNAcentral describes it as "bacterial SSU rRNA". It matches the Rfam family "Bacterial small subunit ribosomal RNA", at positions 338 to 916 of the family's 1533-position model. The record is from RNAcentral.
CCUACGGGAGGCAGCAGUGGGGAAUCUUGCGCAAUGGGCGAAAGCCUGACGCAGCAACGCCGCGUGCGGGAUGAAGGCCUUAGGGUUGUAAACCGCUUUCAGCAGGGAAGAAAAUGACUGUACCUGCAGAAGAAGGUGCGGCCAACUACGUGCCAGCAGCCGCGGUGACACGUAGGCACCAAGCGUUGUCCGGAUUUAUUGGGCGUAAAGAGCUCGUAGGCGGUUCAGUUAGUUGGGUGUGAAAACUCCGGGCUUAACCCGGAGCCGCCACCCAAUACUGCUGUGACUAGAGUUCGGUAGGGGAGCGGGGAAUUCCUAGUGUAGCGGUGAAAUGCGCAGAUAUUAGGAGGAACACCGGUGGCGAAGGCGCCGCUCUGGGCCGAAACUGACGCUGAGGAGCGAAAGCAUGGGUAGCAAACAGGAUUAGAUACCCUGGUAGUCCAUGCCGUAAACGUUGGGCACUAGGUGUGGGCUUCAUCCAACGAAGUCCGCGCCGUCGCUAACGCAUUAAGUGCCCCGCCUGGGGAGUACGGUCGCAAGACUAAAACUUAAAUGAAUUGACGG